AUAUAUAUAUAUAUAUAUAAAACACUGACACUUCUGAAUAAAUACGUGUCUGAUAUAUUCUAUAUCUAUCUUCUAUACUGAAUCGGAAUAAUAUCAGCUCUUGUUUUGACAAUUUCAUAAAUCUUAUACAUUACUUAUAUAAACAAAAAUAUAAAAAUUCAAGAGAAUUAUAGAAUCUUAAAACAUAUUUAACUUGCAAUUUCUUUCUAAGAUUUUUUCACAAAAAUACUCUUUAAGCUCUAAGAAACUAUCAAAGACAAAGUUCUGAAAAACCAAAUAAAUAAAAACGUUAUCAUCAUAUUCAUAUACAUCAUAUUCAUAAAUAAUCAAUUUUAUAUAUCCUUUUGGUGCAAAAGCAUUAGAAAUGCUGAUAUAAAUAUGCAUAUAGAAAGAGAAUUAAAAAUUUCUUAGAAUGAGGUUAUUAUGUGGCAGAACCAUAUCUGCAGCUUUAGAUCUGUCAACCCCAUAGGAAGCGACGUCGUGUGUGCCGCAUAUCAUUGCUUGAUUCAAGUUUGAUUUCGAUUAAAAAAAUAGAGGAACAAGGAAGAAAAUGAAAAGAAAGAAGAAAGAAGGAAGAGAAAGAGAGAAAAGGACAAAUUUGUGUUUAGUAGAAUCAAAAAACAAAUAGGGGAAUUGGACUGAUGGAAGAAGGAGACGUGGAGACUUGAGGAAGCAGAGGGGUAGCACGUUGUUUUUCAGACCAUAAAAUAUUCUCAUUGCUCUCCCACAAUGGAAUAUUCUUUGCACAAUUAUCCCAUAAACUUAUUUAAUGGUCAUUGAUGUGAAACUUACUUUAAAUGUGUUUUUCUCAACAACAUCAUAAAAAGAUUAAAUAUUAUGAAGAGAUAAAAUUAUGAAGAUAAUAAAUUUUACCUUCAAGAUCUAAAACCAUAGCUUUUAGCAAAUAUGAAACGACAUCUUAUAAGGUUUCGUUACAGAUAUCGCAGUUUUUCGUUUGUUUGUAUUUGACUCAGAAAAACAAUAACAAUAACAAAACCAGUCAAAACCAUAACAAUUAAGUUAACUGAACAACUUAUCAACUGUGGCAGAACCAAAUUUGCAGCUUCAGAUCUGUCAACCCCAUACGAAGUGGCAUCGUGUUUGUCGCAUAUCAUCACUUGCUUCAAGUUUGAUUUUGAUUAGAAAAUAUAGAGGAAGAAUGAAGAAAAAGAAAAGGAAGAGAGAGAGAGAGAAUUUAUGUUUAGUUUAAUCAGAAAAUAAAUCGGUGUAUUGAGCUAAGGGAAGAAGGAGACGUGGAGACUUGAGGAAGCAGGGGUAACAUGAUAUUUUUUAGAACAUAAUUUAUUCUUAUUUCCUACAAUGAAAUAUUAUUUGCAUAAUUAUCAACUAAACUUAUUUAACGACCAUUGAUCAGAUUUUAUAUAUAUAUAUAUAUAUAUAUAUA
This 1405-nucleotide long non-coding RNA is filed under the name Lathyrus oleraceus (garden pea). Its description in RNAcentral is "Pisum sativum (pea) long non-coding RNA (PSAT_LNC023269)". Lineage: Eukaryota; Viridiplantae; Streptophyta; Magnoliopsida; Fabales; Fabaceae. The record is from RNAcentral.